RNAcentral lists this ribosomal RNA (465 nucleotides) under uncultured bacterium. RNAcentral describes it as "partial 16S ribosomal RNA". It matches the Rfam family "Bacterial small subunit ribosomal RNA", at positions 28 to 507 of the family's 1533-position model. The record is from RNAcentral.
GACGAACGCUGGCGGCGUGCUUAACACAUGCAAGUCGUACGGUAAGGCCCUUUCGGGGGUACACGAGUGGCGAACGGGUGAGUAACACGUGAGUAACCUGCCCACAACUUUGGGAUAACGCUAGGAAACUGGUGCUAAUACUGGAUAUGUGCUCCUGCUGCAUGGUGGGGGUUGGAAAGCUCCGGCGGUUGUGGAUGGACUCGCGGCCUAUCAGCUUGUUGGUGGGGUAGUGGCCUACCAAGGCGGCGACGGGUAGCCGGCCUGAGAGGGUGACCGGCCACAUUGGGACUGAGAGACGGCCCAGACUCCUACGGGAGGCAGCAGUGCGGAAUAUUGCACAAUGGGCGCAAGCCUGAUGCAGCAACGCCGCGUGCGGGAUGACGGCCUUCGGGUUGUAAACCGCUUUCAGCAGGGACGAAGCUUUUUGUGACGGUACCUGCAGAAGAAGCACCGGCUAACUACGUG